Long non-coding RNA from Haliotis rufescens (red abalone), 363 nucleotides. RefSeq lists it as uncharacterized. NCBI's taxonomy places the organism in Eukaryota, Metazoa, Mollusca, Gastropoda, Lepetellida, Haliotidae. The transcript has 4 exons. The record is from RefSeq and is a predicted model, not a curated record.
CUUGAGGCUUGUUGAUGCUGACGACAGUACGUGCAGCGUGAACCAGCCACUGAAGACGGAAUGACUGCCAAGAUGACAAGGAUUGUGAUGUAUCUGAUGUUGGUUGUAACAAUGGUAGCGCCAGACGUUGAAGGCAUUUGUUCCAUACAUUGCCCAGCUGGACAGAUCUGUACGCCCACAGAAACUGGUGACGUGUGCUCACAAAUGGGAGAUGACGACACCGGUUUUGGUUUUGGAAACCCAGGGGGAUUUCCGGGCGGGAAAUAACAGUGUCGAGUGGUUUCUUCUGUGCAGGCAGAACGGUCAUGACCCUGAUGGCUUGAUUUCUUUCAAAAGUGUUCAAAUAAAACGAAUUUCGGAAAA